AAUUCACUCACCUAAAGGUUAUGGCAAAACCUUAGAGUAUCAAGGAAACUCUUAAGAACCUCUCUAAGCUUUAAGGCUAGUUCGCUUAGGAACCAGUCUUUUACGGGUAGACUCACACCUUAGAGUAUCAAGGGCACUCUUAAGAACCUCUAACUUUUGCGGGUAAGUUAGUACCUUAGAGUAUCAAGGAACUCUUAAAAACCUCUCUAAGCUUUAAGGCUACUUCGCUUAGAAACCAGUCUUUUACGGGUAGACUCACACCUUAGAGUAUCAAGGGCACUCUUAAGAACCUCUAACUUUUACGGGUAAGUUAGUACCUUAGAGUAUCAAGGAACUCUUAAAAACCCUGAAAUCUUUCAAGGUAGACUCGACCUAAGAGUUUUCCCGGAAACUCUAUAAAACCAAACUAGAGCUUUAUGGUUGAGCUCAAAAACCUUCUCUCACACUUUGGUACUAUUGAGACAACCCUCUCAACCAAAGUGGACACACACAAGAGGUGAUUAGAGGAGUGGAAUAUUAAAGCAAACAACACUUCUUACUUGUAAAGAUGAACAAGAAGAUUAGAAGAAGAAGUUGGAGAGCUUUUGAAGCUUUGGAAAGCUAGGACACUUGAGCACUUGAAAGCUUGGAAGCUUGGAGGCAAAAACGUGUGGGCAAGUGUGGAGUGAAAGCUCUUGAGUUUGCUUGUAGUGUGGUAAGUGAAAAUGAGGGGUUUACCCUUCUAUUUAUAGCCUUGGCCACUCAAUGUCCACCCUUGGAUCUUCAAUGGAUGGCUCCUUGAUUUCUCACAUAAAUCCAAGCUUUGUCUUUGAUCUUAUCUUGAAUAGUGCUUUUAUUGGAUAGAGUUUGUUGGAGAAUCUUAUCUUUGUAUAAAUUCAAACUUGAAUAGUGUUUUGUCCCCUUGGAAUAUUAUACCUUGAAUAAAGUGUCAAAAGAUAAUAAUAAUAAUAUUCAAGGUAAAAAUGCAAUUAUUUCAAAUAAUAUUCAAGGUGAAAAUGCAAUUAUUCCAAAUAAUAAUAUUCAAGGUUAAAAUGCAAUUCUCCCAAUUUGACUUUUAACUUUGACUUAAACCCUUAACUCAAAUGAUUAAUUAAUUAACUGGAGUUAGGUUUAAUAUCGAUUGACUUAUUUAAACCCUAUUGAUUAAUAGUGUAAUUAGGGUUUAAAUUGACAUGAUUAAAAUAUAAUCCUAUGUCGACAAUUUUGAUUCUACAUUCUCCCCCUUUGUCGAUGGCAUAUAUGUUUUAACUCAUGUCUAGUCAAUAUUCUAUUUUACCCUUAUGAACAUGCUCCCCCUGAAUUAUUGACCCAUAAUAUUCAAUUUAAAAGCCGUGGAUCAUGCAUGAUUUCUCCCCCUUAAAACAAUAAGAUAUCGACAAAGUUAAAAAUAGAUACCUGUGAAGUAUCUCCCCCUUAAUGAUAGGACAUAUCUAAUUUGUGGAGAAAAUAAAAUUUCAUACCUUAUUGAGCUUUGAUCACAAAUUCGAUUUGUGUGGUUGACCAAAUGUGACGUCUUGCUUAUAAGAGUGUUAGUCAAUCAUAUAGGAGAAAUAACAUGUAAUUUAUGCUCAUUGAUAAAAUAUUAGAUUGAAGCCAAUUUUGAUAUACAUUAUAAGGCAAGUAUGAUAUGAUAAUUUAAAUUGCCUUGUGUUAAGAUCAUGCAAUGAAUAAUAAUCCAUGUGUAUGUUAUGGAUGAAGAUGAUCUUAACAUGUAUGGAUUAAAGAUUUUAUAAUGUUGUAAUCCAUAAGAUAUUAGUGAAUGAUAUGUAUAAAUCCAUAAUAUUCACUAAUUGCUUUAAGAAGAAAUUGAGCAUUUAAAAUUUUAAAAUCUAUGUCUUAGUGACAAAUAUAAUCAUGUAAAUAUUCACUAAGUUUUAAAAGAUUUAAAAUUUUCAUUUCAGUCCUUAAAGCCUUAGUAGUAAAACUUCACUUAAAACAAAAUUUCAUUUAAGCCCUUUGAAGUUAUGAUAAAUACUUAUAUUAAUACUUGAAAUAUUUCAUUUAAACCUUGGUAGUAUUAACUAUUUCUAAGCACUUUUUAAUUUGAAAACUUCAUGUAAAUAUUAAUUUUAAAUCCCUGAAGUUUUAACUAGAUAUUUAUUCACUGUAAAGAUAUCAUUUUGACCCUUAAGUUUUAGUGAAUCUAUUUAAAACUUAAAAACUUCAUAAACGAUUUAUGUCUAAGUCCUUGAAGUUUCACAUAACUCUAUAUUCACUGGAAAAAAUAUCAUCUUAAUCCUUAAGUUUCAGUGAAUCAUUUUAAACUUAGAAACUUCAAAAAUAAUUUAUGUUUUAGUUUCCAAGAAUUUCUUGGUUUGACUAAGCCAUGAAAAAUCGUUUUAUCUUGUAGUCUCCUUCUCAAAAGAGAGUUCUUUGAUUUCCCAUGUACUGACAUGACUUGUUAGGUUUAACAAGUAAUGAGAUUUUGAAACUAUCAUCUAAGAGCUAGCUAGGAUCUUAGCAAGGCUUGUAUUUUAGUAGCUUGUAUCCAGAAUAAUAUUUAAUUUAAAACAUACUUUUUGGUGGUCUUCAACGCAUUCUUUGCACUAUGCACGAUAGUCCAUGCUCCUAGCUGUCGUGAGUGACUAGUUGCGACAGGUUUUCUGGAUGAAGUUGCAGCAUCGAGGUUGCAGAAUGUGCAGACGACGAUUCUCAAUGCCAUGAGGUAAGGUUUGAAUUACCAAUACCAUGUGAUGCUGAUUUUGCUCAAAGUAGGAAAUAGUCUCAUGUAGUAUGUGUGCAACAUAGAAUUAAUCUUAUAAUUUUCUCAAUUAUAUGUAUGUGAUGACAUGGAAUAUGCAUGAUUUAAAUAGUUAUAUACAUAAGUCAAAAUUAGCUGUUUUGAUCAUCAUGUAUUUAAGUAUUUCAUAUCAUUAUGCAUGUAUAUAAUUCAUAGAUUCAUGCAUGUCAUAAGAUUCAUAAAUAAAUAUUAGCAUGCAUGUAUAAGAUAAUAAUAGUAUCAUGCUAAACUCAAACCAUGUAUCUUAUAUUUUUAAAGACCACAUACGUGUACAUGCAUAAUAUUGCAAUAUUUACUUUGCCAGACAUGCAUUUAUCAGAUAGUUAUUUGAAUCAUGUAGUUUCUAGUAGCAUGGUGAACAUGUAGGCAUGUAUUAACAUGAUUCUAUUGAUAUAUAUGAUAGUCAUAUAGUCAAGUUAAGCUCUUCAUUUUAUGCAUGCAUAUGAUGAAUUAUAUGUAUAUACUUAGUCAUGUAAAUCUUAGAUUUGUAAAUUUAUGCAUACGUAUAUUUAUUUUAAUGUGAUUAUGAUCAAGGUUAUAAGUAUAAAGAUAUUCAGGUAAAGAAUACUAAAGCUUGAGAUGCAUUCACUCAUAACUAAUCAAAUUUCACUAAGCUCACAUAUACCCAUAGAUCUUCUGAUUUUUGAAUGAACUUCUUGAUCUAAGGGUUUAGUGAAGAUGUCAGCCAUUUGAUCUUCAGUAGAAAUAUAUUCUAGGCAUAUAUUUUUCUUUUCUACAUGAUCACUAAGGAAAUGAUGUCUGACAUCAAUGUGUUUAGAUCUUGAAUGUAACACAGAGUUUUUUGAUAAACAAAUUGCACUCUUGUUGUCACAUUUAAGAGCUACUGUUUCUAAAGCUAUAUCGUAGUCGGAUAAUGUUUGUUUCAUCCACAAAAUUUGAGUGCAUGCAUUAGAUGCUGCCAUAUAUAUAUUCUGCUUCAGUUGUGGAUAAAGCAAUACUAUUUUGCAUUUUACAUGACCAUGCUACGAGUGAGCUUCCCAACAGAAAGCAUGUUUCACUAGUGCUUUUUCUGUCAGUCUUACAUCCACCAAAGUCAGCAUCACAGUAUGCUGUCAGUGUGAAUGAAUUGUCCUUAGGGUAGAAUAAUCCAAGUGUAAUUGUUCCUUUGAUAUACCUGAUUAUUCAUUUAACCGCUUUGAGACGUGACUCUUUUGGGUCUGAUUAGAAUCUGGCACAUAAGCAGACUGCAAACAUGAUGUCUGGUCUGCUGGCUGUUAGGUAUAGCAGUGAUCCAAUCAUUCCUCUGUAUUUCUUAAUGUCUACUGAUUGACCUUCAACAUCUUUAUCCAAUUUAAGUGUUGAACUCAUCGGAGUUGGCAUAGAUUUAGAUUCAGCCAAGUCAAAUUUCUUUAUCAAUUCCAUAGCAUAUUUGACUUGACUUAGGAAUAUUCCAUUCUCCUUCUGUUUGACUUGUAGACCUAAGAAAAAAGUCAACUCUCCCAUCAUACUCAUUUCAAAUUCGUCUUCCAUUUGUUUGGAAAAUUUCUUACAUAGAGUAUCAUCGGUUGAUCCAAAUAUAAUGUCAUCAACAUAGAUUUGAAUUAGAAUAAUGUCACUUUUGACAUUUUUAAUGAACAAUGUAUUAUCUAUACUCCCCAUUCUAAAUUCCUGAGAAAUGAGAAAGUUUCUUAGUCUUUCAUACCAAGCUCGGGGUGCUUGUUUCAGACCAUAGAGGGCUUUCUUAAGUUUAAGGACAUGAUCAGGGUUUUUGUAAUCUUCGAAACCGGGGGGUUGUCUAACAUAUACUUGUUCAUUGACUAUUCCAUUCAAGAAUGCACUCUUUACAUCCAUUUGAUAUAAUUUGAAAUCUUUGUAACAUGCAAAGGAUAGGAGCAUUCUGAUAGACUCUAGUCUAGCUACUGGUGCAAAUGUUUCAUCAUAAUCAAUUCCUUCUUGUUGAUUGUAUCCUUGCGCAACCAGUCUAGCUUUGUUUCUGAUUAUAGUUCCAUCUUCAUCCAGCUUGUUUCUGAAUACCCAUCUUGUCCCAAUGAUUGAUGUAUCUUUUGGUUUUGGAACUAGUUCCCAUACAUCAUUUCUCUCAAAUUGGUUGAGUUCUUCUUGCAUAGCUUGAAUCCAGUAGUUGUCGUCGAGGGCUUCAUCAACUUUCUUGGGCUCAAUUUGAGAGACAAAACAGUCAAGAACACUGUUUCCUUGAAUGGAUGAUCUGGUUUUAACACCAGCUUGAUGGUCACCAAUGAUUUGAUCAGUGGAAUGUGGGUUCCUGAGCAACCUGUUGGAUGGAGGCUCAAAGACUUCGAUUUCGACAUUGGUAGUUUCUUCAGUUGGAAUGAUGAUUUCUGGUUCUGGAACUAUUUCAUCUUCUUCUACAAUGGUUGUCUGAGUGGAUUCAUCAAAGCCAACGUGUAAUGAUUCGAUCAUUAUUUGUUUUUCUUUGAGAAGAAUUUUGUAGACUUUGCUCCUUCUAGAGUAUCCUACCAGGAUACCUUCAUCAAAUUUCUGAGCAAAUUUGUCUUGGUUGCCUCUUGUUCGGAGAACUAACAUUUGCAUCCAAAGACCUUGAAGUAUGAGACUUUUGUCUUUCUUCCAUUCCAGAUCUCAUAUGGAGUUUUGUUAAAGGUUUUUCUAAUAAUCACCUUGUUUAAUAUAUAACAGGCUGUGUUAACAGCUUCUGCCCAGAGAUACUGUGGUGAAUCAUGUUCUUGUAACAUGGAUCUACUCAUCUCUUGUAGAGUUCUGUUUUUCCUUUCAACAACUCCAUUCUGAGGGGGUGCUUGGGGAAAAGCAAAUUCAUGUUUUAUUCCAUGAGUUUUGCAAAAUUUUUCAAACUCAGAGUUCUCGAAUUCUCCUCCAUGAUCACUUCUGAUUCUUUUUAUGAGAACAUCCUUCUCAUUUUGUACACGUGUACAAAAUGAUGAGAACUCGUUGAAUGAGUCACUUUUAUUUCGUAAGAAGAAAACCCAAGUAAAUCUUGAGUAAUCAUCUACUAUUACAUACGUAAACCUUUUACCGCCAAGACUUUGGGUUUGGGUUGGCCCAAAUAAGUCCAUGUGUAAAAGUUCCAAAGGUCUGGACGUAGUAAUAUCUGUAAGGGAUUUGAAUGAGCUUUUAUGCUGUUUCCCCUUUUGACAAACAUCACAAAGAUUACUUUUCUCAUAUGCUAUUUUAGGCAGUCUAGUCACCAGUUCUUCUUUUGAUAGUUUGGAUAAUCGAGAAUAACUGAUGUGACCUAACCUUCUAUGCCAUAAUGUCUUUUCAUCACUUGCUGCAAUCAUGCAGAAGUCAUGAGUUGGCUUGGAGGGAUUAAAGGUUAUGGAAUAAGCAUUGUUUUUCCUAUAUCCUUUAGCAAUUAUAACUCCCUUGGAGUUAAUGAUUGAGCAUAAAUGUUUUUCAAAUUUAACUGUGCAAUCAUUAUCAUAUAAUUGGCUUAUGCUGAUAAGAUUAUGUUUAAGGCCAUUAACUAAGUAAACAUCUCUAAGAAAUGGUCUAUCUAUAUUACCUAUAUUACCCCUACCUAUAAUGGUACCUUCGUUGUUAUCGGCGAACUUGACCUUCUUAGUAGUAGGCCAGUCGGUCAAGUCUGUCAGUAGACUUGAAUUUCCAGUCAUGUGCCUUGUGCAUCCACUGUUGAACAGCCAUUUUGACACAUGUUUUUCCUGAAAGAGUUGAAUAACCUUUUGGUACCUAUACUGAGUUGGGUCCAGAUGAAUUAACAUAGUUGAUUUGCUUAUAAUUUUUUAACUCAUUCUUGGUCAUCCAUUUUUGUUUUGGAUGAUUCAUCUUCGAUAGAUCUUUCUUUUUUUUAAGAUGAAUAGGUUUUCUGUAGCUAGAUUCUCUUACAAAAUAAUCAUUAUAUGUUAAAGCAUGUAAAGGUUUUUUAAUAGGUGUAUUUGAUUCAAACCCUAAGCCAAAUUUCUUUUAACCUGAGCUUGAACCUUGCAACAUGUCAUUUAGCUUAGAUGAACUAUUUAAGAAUUUUUCAAGAACAUUAUUCUUCUGACCUAUUCUUUUGAUUUGUAAUUGCAUAUCAUUACAUUUUUCAGAUAAUUAUUGUAUAGUUUGUACAUGCUCAAGUAUGAUUUUGUCCUUAAAUUCUAUUUCUGUUUUGAGCAUAAUUGUUUCUUUUUCUUUUAACAUAAUAUCUUCUUCAAAAUUAUCUAUUUUUAAUUCUAGCAAUUCAAUCUUAUCAUCAUCCAUUUCCUUAGAUUGAUUUUCUUCAGAUUCUAAAAUGUUAAGCAAUUCAAAGUUUUGACUCUUAAGUAUCUUAAUUUUUUCUUCAUCUUUGUUUAAUUUACUUGUGAGUUUUAGAUUUCUUUCUUUCAAUUGCAUGCAUUCUUUUUGUGAUUCUUCUAAUUCAAUAGAUUGAUCUAUAUGUGAUUUAUUCAUGCAUUCUAGUUUUAAUGACUUAGUUAAUUUGUUCUCAUUUUUAUAUUUUCCCAUUAAUUCUAGAUAUGCUUCUUCUAAAGAAUUAAAUCUAGUAUUUGCAAAACUCACCUCAGAGUUGCUUUCAUGAGCCAUGAGACAAUCUUCUUGAUCCGAGUCGGAGUCUGUCCAUUGUGCUUGAUUUGCUCUUUCUUUCUUUAGCAGAGGACAUUCUGGUUUGAUGUGUCCAGACUUGUCGCAUAGACAACAGGUUGGUUCUUUUGACUCCUUGCUCAUUCUUCCGUCGAACUUCUGAUGACUUGAUCUUGAGUCUUUCUUCUCUUUCCUCUUUUUCUGAUAUCUUCUCAGAUGAUUUGUGAUCAUUCCUAGAUCAUCUUCUGAUGUUUCAUUGUCAGAUUGACUUUUAAAAGCAAUAUCCUUUUUCUCUUCUUUAGCUCUAGAGAUGAAUCUUUCUUCUUCAUAGGCCAUCAGAUUUCCACAGAGUUUCACAACUGUAAGUUUAUUGAGAUCAUGAACCUCUUGGAUAGCAUUCCUUUUGGAGUAGUACUUGUUUGGAAGGCUCCUCAGAAUUUUGCUUACUUGCUUCUUCUCAGUUAUUAGAUCUCCUAGUCCAGCUAGAUCAUUAACUAUUUGUGAUAGUCUAAUGUUCAUCUCUGCGAUAGUCUCGUCUUCCCUCAUAGAGAAUCUUUCGAACUGAGAGGUAGCAUGUAACAGCUUGUUUUCUUUAACAUGGGAGGUUCCUUCAUGUAUAUCCUCCAAUGCUUUCCAUACCUUGUGAGCUGUAUCCAAGCAUCGAAUUCUGCUGUACUCAGAUUCAUUGAGUGCUCCAUAUAGAGCAUUCAAUGCUCUUGAGUUGUUGUUUUCCUUGAGAAUGUCCAUUUCUCCCCAAGUCUCUUCAUUGCUUGUUGGAAUUUCAUAAUCCUCUAAUAUGAUCUUCCAUACUCCAUUGUUGAUUGACUUCAAGUAUAACUUCAUCUUGUUCUUCCAGAAGUCAUACUUUACUCCAUCGAACCUGGGAGGUUUGUUUGACGCAAGACCAGUGUUGAAUUCACCAUUUGGUGCCAUAAUUGUUGUUGUAAGAUGUUAGUCAAACUUCAACGGUACUUGGCUCUGAUACCACUUGUUGGAUCGAGAUCCGAGGCUAUAAGGGGGGAUAAUAGUCUCUUUUCGAUUUAUGCAAGUUAAUAGCGGAAUUACCUGCACACAUUUAAGUACACAAAUGGUUGUAUAAUAAUAGUAUAAUAUUGUUAGCAAUAUAAUACUGGUUCACCCAAACAAGGGCUAGUCCAGUCCCGACCAACUGUCGGAAUUCACUCGCCUAAAGGUUAUGACAAACCUUAGAGUAUCAAGGAAACUCUUAAGAACCUCUCUAAGCUUUAAGGCUACUUCGCUUAGGAACCAGUCUUUUACGGGUAGACUCACAUCUUAGAGUAUCAAGGGCACUCUUAAGAACCUCUAACUUUUGCGGGUAAGUUAGUACCUUAGAGUAUCAAGGAACUCUUAAAAACCUCUCUAAGCUUUAAGGCUACUUCGUUUAGGAACCAGUCUUUUACGGGUAGACUCACACCUUAGAGUAUCAAGGGCACUCUUAAGAACCUCUAACUUUUACGGGUAAGUUAGUACCUUAGAGUAUCAAGGAACUCUUAAAAACCUCUUAAAUCUUUCAAGGUAGACUCGACCUAAGAGUUUUCUCGGAAACUCUAUAAAACCAAACUAGAGCUUUAUGGUUGAGCUCAAAAACCUUCUCUCACACUUUGGUACUAUUGAGACAACCCUCUCAACCAAAGUGGACACACACAAGAGGUGAUUAGAGGAGUGGAAUAUUAAAGCAAACAACACUUCUUACUUGUAAAGAUGAACAAGAAGAUUAGAAGAAGAAGUUGGAGAGCUUUUCAAGCUUUGGAAAGCUAGGACACUUGAGCACUUGAAAGCUUGGAAGCUUGGAGGCAAAAACGUGUGGGCAAGUGUGGAGUGAAAGUUCUUG
RNAcentral lists this long non-coding RNA (9086 nucleotides) under Zostera marina. RNAcentral describes it as "long non-coding RNA (ZMAR_LNC001090)". The record is from RNAcentral. Lineage: Eukaryota; Viridiplantae; Streptophyta; Magnoliopsida; Alismatales; Zosteraceae.